GACGAACGUCUGGCGGCGGUGGUCUAACACAUGCAAGUCGAACGGGGUUGAUUCUUCGGAGGUUAACUUAGGUGGACGGAACGGGUGAGUAACGCGUGAGAAACCUGCCUUUCAGUGGGGGACAACAGUUGGAAACGACUGCUAAUACCGCAUAAUGUCAUUUAAGGGCAUCCUUGAAUGACCAAAGCUUUAUGUGCUGAAAGAUGGUCUCGCGUCUGACUAGCUAGAUGGCGGGGUAACGGCCCACCAUGGCGACGAUCAGUAGCCGGUCUGAGAGGAUGAACGGCCACAUUGGGACUGAGAUACGGCCCAG
Molecule: ribosomal RNA, 313 nt
Filed under: uncultured bacterium
Lineage: Bacteria
Description: bacterial SSU rRNA
Rfam family: Bacterial small subunit ribosomal RNA
Source: RNAcentral